This 256-nucleotide ribosomal RNA is filed under the name uncultured bacterium. RNAcentral's name for it is "partial 16S ribosomal RNA". It matches the Rfam family "Bacterial small subunit ribosomal RNA", at positions 85 to 334 of the family's 1533-position model. The record is from RNAcentral.
UUGGGAGUGAGUGGCGGAACGGGUGAGUAACACGUGAGUAACCUCGCCCCCUUCCUUUGGGAUAACGCCCGGAAACCGGGUGCUAAUACUGGAUAUUCACUGAUCUUCGCAUGGGGGUUGGGUGGAAAGGUUUUUUCUGGUGGGGGAUGGGCUCGCGGCCUAUCAGCUUGUUGGUGGGGUGAUGGCCUACCAAGGCUUUGACGGGUAGCCGGCCUGAGAGGGUGACCGGUCACAUUGGGACUGAGAUACGGCCCAG